CAAGAGCGUAUAUUAAAGUUGUUGCAGUUAAAAAGCUCGUAGUUGGAUUUCUGGUACAACGCGCCUGGCCCGCUUACGUGAGUGCCGGUGCGCGUUUGCCAUCCUUCUAGAAAACGUCUCUACUCGGGCAACUGAGCCGGAUUCGCGAUCUAGAUCUUUACUUGAAAAAAUUAGAGUGUUUAAAGCAGGCUAUUGCCUUGAAUACAUUAGCAUGGAAUAAUGAGAUAGGACCUCGGUUCUAUUUUGUUGGUUUCUAGAGCUGAGGUAAUGAUUAAUAGGGAUAGUUGGGGGCAUUCGUAUUUAACUGUCAGAGGUGAAAUUCUUGGAUUUACGAAAGAUAAACUUCUGCGAAAGCAUUCGGCAAGGAUGUUUUCAUUGAUCAAGAACGAAAGUUAGGGGAUCGAAGACGAUCAGAU
RNAcentral lists this ribosomal RNA (416 nucleotides) under uncultured eukaryote. RNAcentral describes it as "bacterial SSU rRNA". It matches the Rfam family "Eukaryotic small subunit ribosomal RNA", at positions 592 to 1013 of the family's 1831-position model. The record is from RNAcentral.